UACAGAGACUGCAAGCGUUAUUCGGAUUCACUGGGCGUAAAGCGUGCGCAGGCGGUGAUGUAAGACAGAUGUGAAAUCCCCGGGCUCAACCUGGGAACUGCAUUUGUGACUGCAUCGCUGGAGUGCGGCAGAGGGGGAUGGAAUUCCGCGUGUAGCAGUGAAAUGCGUAGAGAUGUGGAGGAACACCGAUGGCGAAGGCAGCCCCCUGGGCUGAGAUUGACGCUCAGGCACGAAAGCGUGGGGAGCAAACAGG
This 253-nucleotide ribosomal RNA is filed under the name uncultured bacterium. RNAcentral describes it as "partial 16S ribosomal RNA". It matches the Rfam family "Bacterial small subunit ribosomal RNA", at positions 524 to 776 of the family's 1533-position model. The record is from RNAcentral.